CAAACCCUAGAAUCAUCUUGUCGAUAUCUAUCAAAGCAAAAUCAAGCAUACAAAGAGAUAGAAUUUUAUAUUUAGACCAAUAUGAAAAAGUGGCAUGUUGGUGUUCUCCACGAGUCUCCAAAGUAAAAGUCCUCCAAUGGUGAUCUACACGAAAGUUGACCAAGGUCCUUCCCAACCAGUACGCUGUCGCAGCCUUGUCUUCUCAAGAACACUACUGGCUUCGAACUUGCAUCACGAUCGCACCAAAAUCCAGUUGCUUUCGCUUUCACCACC
RNAcentral lists this long non-coding RNA (273 nucleotides) under Elaeis guineensis (African oil palm). Its description in RNAcentral is "long non-coding RNA (EGUI_LNC064189)". Lineage: Eukaryota; Viridiplantae; Streptophyta; Magnoliopsida; Arecales; Arecaceae. The record is from RNAcentral.